Molecule: long non-coding RNA, 3612 nt
Filed under: Taeniopygia guttata (zebra finch)
Lineage: Eukaryota; Metazoa; Chordata; Aves; Passeriformes; Estrildidae
Description: lncRNA (ENSTGUG00000028358.1)
Source: RNAcentral
GUGCUGUUAAGAUAAAUUUAUUUUCUUCAGCUUUCUUCACAGGAAACAUGAAAGUGCUUUACAGAAUUUGAAUACCAUUACCAUGGGACAAAAGGACAACAGGUGUGUGCACUGCACAGUUAGAAGUUGUCAUAUGCAGAAGCCAUGAUAGGUAAACCAGGGUAAAAAAAAUCUACUGACAAAAAUAUAUAUCACUCAGGUUUUGAACUUAAGUUAUGACUGUUAACACAAUUAUAUAAAUAUACAGGCACCAUUAGGUUCCUGUAUUAACUGUGGGGGCCAUACAGGCAUUCUCAGAAGCAGAUCAUAUUGAACUCUGCUGAAACAGUUUCUGCUGUGCUCCACAGGCUCCUAGCCAAACAAUUUUCCCAGCCAGACAGUAUAAUUCUUUCAUUUUCUGCACUACACUGAGCCCACAAUUACCAUAAUUUCUUCAUAUUAAGUCUGGUGCUGAGGCAUUCUGCUACGCUGUUGCAAACAAAUUCAGGUUGUUUUUUUUUUCUUUUGACUUAGAGAUCCUCUUACAAUUCCUCCCUCAGUAAUCUCUUAAUGAAAAAAAAAAUUAAAAUGCUUUAGGCUAGAUCCUGCUGUCCAGGUAAGACAGUUUUGUUUAAGCUAGAGCAUUACCAGUCAUGCAACUCUACUCCUUUCCAUAGCUGAGCUGUGUUGUACUGUGAACAUUGCUACUGCCUCUCUUGCUGUACUCCAUGGGAAUUCAGAUCCUGCAUAGCCUUUGAGGCUCUCUAGGUUUCAGUUCUUCAAGGAGACUGCAUUUACUUGCUAGGCAGUUUUGCAAUGUUUGUGAUACUUCAGCCCUGACAAAAACAAUGCAGCAUGAUCAAGGCUCAGGAGUUCUUGCCUGCUGCUUUCUAAAUAAGUGAAUAAUUCAGGCACCUGACUAAGAAAUCCUUGGCAUGGUAAUGAUGUAGAUGAACAGAAGGAGGGAAUACUCUAGGGCAAAGAGAGGUCAAAUCGAGAUUUUUGCUGAGUUUUGAGUUCCAGGAAAAACACUGAGCAGAGCCCAUUACCUAGAAAACACCAUCAUGCCAGUUUCCAAAGCUACUUUGCCCUUUUCCCAAUUCCCAGAGUAGAGACACAGUGCACGGUCAAAGAACUUGUCAGUCCUGAAGGUUACUGGGCAGUUAGUAAGUAACAGUACUGAGCUACAGUGGCAAGACAGGGCUUUGGUGAGUACCAGCAGAGGGUGAGACUUCGAGGCAUGGGAGAGGCUAUGAAGUAUUACAUUCUAACAACCCUCAGAUUCAUUUGCUCUGUUUUCCCUGCCACGUCCUCAAAAAGUAAAAAUCUCCCAACACUCCUUGGCCAAUUUCAUCAACUCCCAGCAGCCACAACUUUUUUGACAGAGUACUGCUGUAAUGGAACACCUAACAGAUACAGAUAUUUGGAUGCAAAAUCCAAGGGACAUUGUUCUCAGCCCAGUAUAGCAUUAGUACUGGAAGGCAGCUGCUCUCUAGGAUGUGGUACUCUGAUAAUUGAGGUAAUGCAGCUCUCAAGGGCCAGGCUUGAGUCUGCCCUUAUGACCCAUCCUUAGUAUCUGUAAACAUAACAUGACUGGGAAAUGCAGUCAGUGCUUAAAGAAAACAUCAUUUACAGCUCCAUGCUCUUUAAAGCACAAGAUGAUGAGCAUGAAGAGAUGAAACAAACCACAAAGACAAUCUGCCUUCCAGUGUUGCUUCAUCUUAAAUACUGUAAUGCAGUUUCAAUAUCCAGUUAAAUACUAUCCCAGGUAUGUUAGAUUGAGCAUGGCUGAGCUCCUGUGGUUGCUGGUCAGAGACUAAACAAUAGUAAUGCAUCUGCUUCAUCUCUGGCACGAAGAAUUACACAGAAAUUUAAAACAAGUUUCUAUGGAGCUUGUUCACUGGCACUUGAUUCUGGCUGUCACACCUAGAUGUCAAAUGAUCCCAAAUCUUUGAUCUCAAAUCAAAUGUUAAUGAAAUUGACCUUGUGUGACAGAAAUAAAUCUACUGAAACCAGUGAAGUUAAGCUCUGGGAGCCCACAUGCAUAUUUUGCCUUUUUCUCAAUAAAUUUGUUCUAUUGUAUCAGCCAUAUUUUAUGGUUUGAAUACCUUUGCUAUAAAGUACAUACUCUGAAAGAUAUACAGAAUAAGUGGUUUGUUUUAAUUUAAAAAAAGCUUAUGACAAUAUUUUAACUAACAGUUUUCUGUAGGCAAGUUACUUGAAAAAAAGCAGACAGAUGUAAUGUGAUGACUUCAUUGCUCUCAGCUAGAAUGGAAAAUCAGUACAGAAGAUAGGAGACAUGAAAAGGAAUAGAAAACAUCAGAUUGAGCAAAAAUUAGUAAGAGCUUGCCAUGCUACUCACUGACCAGAAGAGUGGAUUAUAUACAUGAAACUGAAGUUUCAGUACAUCAAAUGGCAAAAGCCAAUCCCCAUGGAAGUUACUGGGUGAUGGUGAUUGCUAAGAUACUCUAAAUUACUCUGUAAAUUUGGCAAAUCAGGGGGAGUGAGUUGUCAACAGGAAAAACCAAGGCAAUAAAUACUGGAAAAGUUGUAAACCACUCAUACAUGCUCUGGUAGAAGUUGUGACAUGAGUCUGAAUUAGUUGUGAUCUUUCAAGGGGACGAUCUAGGCAUCACCAUGGGCAGCUUGAUGAAGACAUCUGCUCACUGUGUAGUUGCAGUCAAGAAAGCGAAUAAGAUGUUAGGCUGUAUUAAAGACAGAACAAUACAGAAAAAUAUUACAGCAUCUAUGUCUCUUAGAGGUGAUAAUCUCAAUGAAUAUUUGCUGUUUCUUCAGCACCUUAAAAAAAGUGACAUAUUAGAAAAAUGAGGCAGGAAACUGGUAAGAGAAUGGUAGAAGCAGCUCCUUGGAGCUGGAAGGACAGUAAAACUAAGGCAGUUUAUUUGUUAGGGGGAUAGAUGACAAACAUCUUAAAAGCAAUUCUCCUUCCCAUCAUGUAAGAUACAUACUUCAAAGUCAUUUUAAGCCACUUACCAAUAAAUAUAUGGACCUUAACUUCACUCGUUACCAUCAUCAUCGUAAGUAUUCCAAAAAGCCCUAUGUUAUUCUGCAGUGCUUAUUAUUCAGCUAGUUCAACACCUUCUCUGAAGCAACCGCCACAGUUUAACAGUGUUGAAGUUUAACAGUAAUAAUUUCUGACAGAGAACUGUCACAGCUGAUGCACAUUAACAACUGUCUUAGAGAUGCUGCAAUGAUAAAAAUGUUGGUAAGAGAAGGUAACUGCUGGGCCUCAUUUCUGUCCAGGACCUACAAGAGCUCUCAUUUGUCUGCAUGCAGGCCACCAUAGUUUUGUUCUCUGAUUCUAUUUGAAGCCCCAUUGUAAAAGCUGAGCAAUGAACCUUGAAAUCACCAGCAAAAGCAGACAAAGGCAUAUUUGUAAGUUACUACUUCAUGUUACUUCAGCUGCAGCUACCUGUUAAAUCAGGAGACAGUAAGUACGAUAAUCGCUCUGCUGUAUCUGUAUUCCUUCUUACCUAUUCUGCUCUCUCACACCUAAGUUUUUGAUAGCUUCUACCCUUUGUUUAUUUCAUAAAACCCCCUCCAUGGCCAACUAUUUCCAUUUUGUUCAUUCCCUUCCUCUACAAUUUGCCUUAAUACCAGAUUUUACAAGUU